Molecule: ribosomal RNA, 212 nt
Filed under: uncultured Desulfovibrio sp.
Lineage: Bacteria; Pseudomonadati; Thermodesulfobacteriota; Desulfovibrionia; Desulfovibrionales; Desulfovibrionaceae
Description: partial 16S ribosomal RNA
Rfam family: Bacterial small subunit ribosomal RNA
Source: RNAcentral
AAGUGGGGAUGACGUCAAGUCCUCAUGGCCUUUAUGUCUAGGGCUACACACGUACUACAAUGGCCGGUACAAAGGGCAGCCACUCAGCGAUGAGGCGCUAAUCCCAUAAAGCCGGUCUCAGUCCGGAUCGCAGUCUGCAACUCGACUCCAUGAAGUUGGAAUCGCUAGUAAUCGCGGAUCAGUACGCCGCGGUGAAUACGUUCCCGGGCCUU